AUGUCAGGGAGCUCAUCCCGCGGCGGCGACGACGCGGCGUGGAGCGCCAAGGAGAACAAGCUGUUCGAGGAGGCACUCGCCUACCACGGCGAGGGCACGCCCGACCGCUGGCUCAAGGUGUCUCGCGCCAUGGGCGGGACCAAGACGGCCGACGAGGUGCGCCGCCACUACGAGAUCCUCGUGGACGACAUCAACCUCAUCGAGUCUGGCAGGGUCCCGUUCCCCAAGUACAAGGACAACUGA
RNAcentral lists this ribosomal RNA (243 nucleotides) under Triticum aestivum (bread wheat). RNAcentral describes it as "partial small subunit ribosomal RNA". The record is from RNAcentral. Lineage: Eukaryota; Viridiplantae; Streptophyta; Magnoliopsida; Poales; Poaceae.